RNAcentral lists this ribosomal RNA (361 nucleotides) under uncultured Bacillus sp. RNAcentral describes it as "bacterial SSU rRNA". It matches the Rfam family "Bacterial small subunit ribosomal RNA", at positions 8 to 359 of the family's 1533-position model. Lineage: Bacteria; Bacillati; Bacillota; Bacilli; Caryophanales; Bacillaceae. The record is from RNAcentral.
AGAGUUUGAUCCUGGCUCAGGACGAACGCUGGCGGCGUGCCUAAUACAUGCAAGUCGAGCGGACAGAUGGGAGCUUGCUCCCUGAAGUCAGCGGCGGACGGGUGAGUAACACGUGGGCAACCUGCCUGUAAGACUGGGAUAACUCCGGGAAACCGGGGCUAAUACCGGAUAAUUCUUUUCCUCACAUGAGGGAAAGCUGAAAGAUGGUUUCGGCUAUCACUUACAGAUGGGCCCGCGGCGCAUUAGCUAGUUGGUGAGGUAACGGCUCACCAAGGCAACGAUGCGUAGCCGACCUGAGAGGGUGAUCGGCCACACUGGGACUGAGACACGGCCCAGACUCCUACGGGAGGCAGCAGAAGGG